This 259-nucleotide ribosomal RNA is filed under the name uncultured bacterium. RNAcentral's name for it is "partial 16S ribosomal RNA". It matches the Rfam family "Bacterial small subunit ribosomal RNA", at positions 524 to 777 of the family's 1533-position model. The record is from RNAcentral.
CACGUAGGGGGCGAGCGUUGUCCGGAUUUAUUGGGCGUAAAGAGCUCGUAGGCGGCUCAGUAAGUCAGGUGUGAAAACUCCAGGCUCAACCUGGAGACGCCACCUGAUACUGCUGUGGCUAGAGUCCGGUAGGGGAGCAUGGAAUUCCUGGUGUAGCGGUGAAAUGCGCAGAUAUCAGGAGGAACACCAGUGGCGAAGGCGGUGCUCUGGGCCGGAACUGACGCUGAGGGAGCGAAAAGUGUGGGGGAGCGAAACAGGG